GGUACUCCGAAGUCAUAAAAGUUGCUGGAAAGAGACCAUUAGAGUCUUGUGGUCCUGAACAAUGUUAUAUGAAGUAGAAGAAAAUAAAAUGCUUCCCAGCUGUGUGUUUUGUUUUUAUAACACCUUGUCCUGUAUUACUUGAUAUUUUAACAAGUAUCAGGUACUCUUUAACAAGAAUACAAUAAUAUUUACAAAGGGAAGUAUUAAAUUUUAACUAGAGAACUUUUUUUGGCAAAUAAUUUCAUAGACUGUAGAUGUACGUUUAAUCUUAGUUUGUACAGUAGAUAAAAUAAUUUAUAUCGAUAAAAUAGCAAAUGCCUAAUAACCAUUAGCAUAUUAUUAUAUUAUCCUUUCUGGUCUCAGCUGGAAGAGUUAACUGCUGUCUUCAAUAUGGUAAUGUGGCCACCUCUUGGUAUGUAUUCCUUUAGCAACCUGAUCUGUCAGGAAAUAUCCAGCAACUCUGAAGUAAGCCUACAGAUUAGCAAAAUAUCAAGCCCAUCUCUCUUCCAUUUCCCCUCUCCCCUCCCCCACCUGAAAAAGGAAAAAAAAGCUUAUUUUAAGGAAAACUAUGGAGCUACCUUUGGGCCAGAAUAAUGUGGAAAAAUUACAUAAUGCUGGUUAUUUAAAUAAGUUUAGGAAAGCAGAUUAGAAGCAACAGGAUAGAGCCUAUAGAACCUAAAAUAAUAUGGAAUAGUGAGGAAGGAUCUACAGCUACAGAAGCAGCAACUGUAAAAUGAACAUUUGUCAUACUUCAGGAGUUUCUGAGAUCAGUACUUUGUUAUAGUAGAUUAUUAUAUUUGAUGGUCAUAGUGUUGACCCUGAAAUCUUCCUCAGAAAGCUUAGGGGUCCACACCCGGCAGUAGAAUUUUACUAAGCAAUAAGUCAAGGCAUUUUAGGACCAACUCCAUCAAAAAGAUGGUUUAAAAAUUUUUUAAGCUAUCAUUCCUUUAAGAUGUGAAUAAAAAGUUCACUUAUAUGAAUCACGUUUAUUCCUGAUGAUGUAAGAUAAAAUGAGAUAUUUGUGUUCUAAAAAUAACAGCAUUUAAUCUGGGGACCUGUCCAAUUUAGGAUAUAUAUAAAUACAAUUUAUAAUGUUUCAAGCUCAGCCAAUGUCUUCAUGUGCUAAUGAGCAAAGCAGUUAAAACAGAUUGUUAGUUUGAAAACAUGACUUGUAAAUGUGUGCAAGAUACAGUACUGGUACAGCUAAUAAUGGUAAGCUGACUACAAUGUCCUCUCCUUGAAUUUAUAUAUAAUAAUAUUUUAUGUCAUAUUGAUUUUAAGUCAUGAUUUCCAACCUAAUUAUUAGUUCAUUAGUAUUUUUAAAACAAUUACCCAGAUAGCCUCUUCUAGGUGUCUGUGUGUGCGUAUACAUGUUUUAAGUGUUUUCAGUUGUAGUAAUCCUGAUGAAUGUUAAUCCUCAAAAAAAAAAAAGAAAAGAAUUAUGAGACAUUUACUUCUGUUUUAAAUUGAUUAUAAAAUAACUGAAAUUUUGAAUAUAAAUCAAAGUCUAUAUAUCGUUUUCUUUGUAUUAAAAUACAGUUUAGGGAGAUUUGUAAAGUUUUAUGAACCAUUACUAAACCUGCUAAUUUCUAAGGUCUAUAAGACAGUUUUAUAUAUAUCUAUUUCCAAAAAUUCCCCCAAUAUUAAUAUAUUAAUAUUCUAAAUUAGUGAAAAUUUGCAUUGACUUAAAAUGUGAGGUAGAUAUUUUUGUUUAAAUAUUGUUUAAAAUUUAGUUCAUUUAAAAAAUUCUGAUGUAAUAAAACAUUGAAUAAAAGAAUGCUUCUACAAACAAUAAAAACAAUAUUUUUCAUAUUC
This is a long non-coding RNA of Phocoena sinus (vaquita), 1815 nucleotides long. The record is from Ensembl. Lineage: Eukaryota; Metazoa; Chordata; Mammalia; Artiodactyla; Phocoenidae.